RNAcentral lists this non-coding RNA (28 nucleotides) under Mus musculus (house mouse). The record is from RNAcentral. Lineage: Eukaryota; Metazoa; Chordata; Mammalia; Rodentia; Muridae.
UGGUAUGAAAGUUAAAGUGAGUCAUGAA